ACCAAUUCUGAGUGAUAAAUACAGUUCCCUCAGGUAUAAUGGCUUGUGACGCAAUAGUAAUUUUGUGGUAUAUCCUGAUCAUCUUGCUUUUUCUUAAUGCCUUUUGAUCCUGGAAAUGCCUCGCAUAUUU
Molecule: small nucleolar RNA, 130 nt
Organism: Raphanus sativus (radish)
Lineage: Eukaryota; Viridiplantae; Streptophyta; Magnoliopsida; Brassicales; Brassicaceae
Source: RefSeq, a predicted model, not a curated record